UACGUAGGUGGCAAGCGUUGUCCGGAUUUACUGGGCGUAAAGAGCGCGCAGGCGGUCGUUCAAGUCGCGUGUGAAAGCCCCCGGCUCAACUGGGGAGGGUCACGCGAUACUGAUCGACUCGAAGGCAGGAGAGGGUAGUGGAAUUCCCGGUGUAGUGGUGAAAUGCGUAGAUAUCGGGAGGAACACCAGUGGCGCAAGCGGCGGCCUGGGUAUGACCUGACACUGAGCCACGACGGCGUGGGGAGCAAACGGG
RNAcentral lists this ribosomal RNA (253 nucleotides) under uncultured bacterium. RNAcentral describes it as "partial 16S ribosomal RNA". It matches the Rfam family "Bacterial small subunit ribosomal RNA", at positions 524 to 776 of the family's 1533-position model. The record is from RNAcentral.